GCAUGGCAGCUCCAGCUUCAGAUUCUGCAUUGGUUACACUUUUUUGUGGUUGGGCUUGUAAAGGUCGUCCUAGGAACAUUUGUUUGUCUUCAGGUGCCAUUGGCUGUUGUCCUGUGAGAAUUCUGACUGGAAGUCUGGAGGAUACCAAAAAAUCGAUCUGUGAGAGCAAUCCUGUGUUAUCGAUAAAUGGAAAAUCUUCUUUUAUCCGAGCAGAUGAUAGUAAAAGGCCAGCUAGGCAUGGAAACCUAGUAUUACAGGAAGACAGUGAUGCUUGUCAAUCUUUAGGGACUGUUAAUAUCCCAAAAUUAUCUUGUAGUAGUAAGUCCUGCUGUGUCCCUGGGUUAGGAGUG
RNAcentral lists this unclassified non-coding RNA (350 nucleotides) under Hevea brasiliensis (rubber tree). The record is from RNAcentral. Lineage: Eukaryota; Viridiplantae; Streptophyta; Magnoliopsida; Malpighiales; Euphorbiaceae.